GGUUAAGUGACUAAGCGUACACGGUGGAUGCCUUGGCAGUCAGAGGCGAUGAAAGACGUAGUAACUUGCGAUAAGCCCAGAUUAGGUAGUAACAACCAUUUGAGUCUGGGAUUUCUGAAUGGGGAAACCCACGUGCAUAAGCACGUAUCCUUACCUGAAUACAUAGGGUAAGGAGGCGAACCGGGGGAACUGAAACAUCUAAGUACCCCGAGGAAAAGAAAUCAACCGAGAUUCCGAAAGUAGCGGCGAGCGAAAUUGGACUAGCCCUUAAGCUUUACACGCGUUAGACGAACGGUCUGGAAAGUCCGACGAUACAGGGUGAUAGUCCCGUAGUUGACGACGUGUGUUCAGUGAAAUCGAGUAGGGCGGGACACGUGAUAUCCUGUCUGAAUAUGGGGGGACCAUCCUCCAAGGCUAAAUACUACUGACUGACCGAUAGUGAACCAGUACCGUGAGGGAAAGGCGAAAAGAACCCCUGUGAGGGGAGUGAAAUAGAACCUGAAACCGUGUACGUACAAGCAGUAGGAGCAGGCUUUGUCCUGUGACUGCGUACCUUUUGUAUAAUGGGUCAGCGACUUAUAUUCAGUGGCAAGGUUAACCAUCUAGGGGAGCCGUAGGGAAACCGAGUCUUAACUGGGCGUUCAGUCUCUGGAUAUAGACCCGAAACCAGGUGAUCUAGCCAUGGGCAGGUUGAAGGUUGAGUAACAUCAACUGGAGGACCGAACCGACUAAUGUUGAAAAAUUAGCGGAUGACUUGUGGCUAGGGGUGAAAGGCCAAUCAAACCUGGAGAUAGCUGGUUCUCCCCGAAAGCUAUUUAGGUAGCGCCUCGGACGAAUACUACUGGGGGUAGAGCACUGUUAAGGCUAGGGGGUCAUCCCGACUUACCAACCCUUUGCAAACUCCGAAUACCAGUAAGUACUAUCCGGGAGACACACGGCGGGUGCUAACGUCCGUCGUGGAGAGGGAAACAACCCAGACCGCCAGCUAAGGUCCCAAAUUACUACUAAGUGGGAAACGAUGUGGGAAGGCUCAGACAGCCAGGAUGUUGGCUUAGAAGCAGCCAUCAUUUAAAGAAAGCGUAAUAGCUCACUGGUCGAGUCGGCCUGCGCGGAAGAUGUAACGGGGCUAAGUAGUAAACCGAAGCUGCGGCAAUACUCUUUGAGUAUUGGGUAGGGGAGCGUUCUGUAAGCGGUUGAAGGUGUGUGGUAACGCAUGCUGGACGUAUCAGAAGUGCGAAUGCUGACAUGAGUAACGAUAAAGGGGGUGAAAAACCUCCUCGCCGGAAGACCAAGGGUUCCUGUCCAACGUUAAUCGGGGCAGGGUAAGUCGACCCCUAAGGCGAGGCCGAAAGGCGUAGUCGAUGGGAAACGGGUUAAUAUUCCCGUACUUCUUACAAUUGCGAUGGGGGGACGGAGAAGGCUAGGUGGGCCUGGCGACGGUUGUCCAGGUUCAAGUGCGUAGGCUUAAGAGUUAGGUAAAUCCGGCUCUUUCUAAG
This 1496-nucleotide ribosomal RNA is filed under the name Vibrio parahaemolyticus. RNAcentral describes it as "partial 23S ribosomal RNA". It matches the Rfam family "Bacterial large subunit ribosomal RNA", at positions 1 to 1555 of the family's 2925-position model. Lineage: Bacteria; Pseudomonadati; Pseudomonadota; Gammaproteobacteria; Vibrionales; Vibrionaceae. The record is from RNAcentral.